Molecule: long non-coding RNA, 1030 nt
Filed under: Medicago truncatula (barrel medic)
Lineage: Eukaryota; Viridiplantae; Streptophyta; Magnoliopsida; Fabales; Fabaceae
Description: long non-coding RNA (MTRU_LNC004988)
Source: RNAcentral
UUUAAAAUCAUUUCAAAAAUUGCAUCUGAAUCAGUUUGAGUCAGUUUAGUCCCUAGGGGCAUUUUGGUCUUUUCCUGUCAAAAUUUCGGCAGAGAGGUAUUUUAAAAUACCUCAUUUUUGUAGUUGGUUCAUUUUAGUCCUUUUGUUGAUUUUAUUUUAGGUUUCACUUUACAUUUGGUCAAAUUACCAAUUUUAAUUCAUUUUAUUUUUAACUGCAUUUUAGUCCCUGAAACAGUUUCCAGAAUUGCAUUUUAGUCCAAAACUUUUUAAAUUUGCUUUUUAGUCCUUUUUUCUUAUUUGCUGUUUAGUCCUUCAAGUUUCUUAUUUUGCAGAAAGGUCCCAAGUUCAUUUUUCAGCCCAAGGCCGAGCCAUUUUUAUCCAGGACAAAUGUCACCUUUUCAUUGGAUUCCAGGCACACAUGGCAGCCUAUAAAAGGUGCAUUCACUGCACAAAUCCACAGAUCCACAGAAUCAGUGACACAUCACCAAAAACAGAAUCUCAGUUUCGCUCUCCAUUCAGUUAGAUCAAAAUAAGAAAAUCAUCAAGAACAUUCACAAAAACCCUAACUUUCCAGAAUCGAAAAUCAACACAGAAUUCAAGCAAAUUCGUCACAAUUCUCAGAGAUUCAACACUGAAUCUUCAUCAUUGAAUCGGCUCCUUCGCAAUACAAGUGCGAAUCCAUCACUGUUGGUGACGGACUCAAGCACGAUCACGAAGAAGACUUGAAGUUUGAGAGAAGAGAGAAAAGAUGAAGAAGAAUUGAAUCGGUACCAGUGAAGAAGGAGAAGAACCGAUUUAUUUUCGGAUUCAAGAACGAAAUCAACGAAACAGAAUCAGAUCGAAGUUUUCCGAAGAUUUUCGUUCGAAAUCUCCGUUUAAAUCACAGGUAACACUUGAAUCUUCAUUUUCCUUUCUCAAGAACAAUAACAAGAACGAAUCAAUGUAGAUCUCCCAAGUUUCAAAGAGUUUCUUUCAAAAAAACUAAAAAAAAAAACCUUAAAAGAAUUCUCGAAAACCGCAAGAAAGAUUU